Arachis duranensis is the source of this 1205-nucleotide long non-coding RNA. RefSeq lists it as uncharacterized. The transcript is spliced from 2 exons. The record is from RefSeq and is a predicted model, not a curated record. NCBI's taxonomy places the organism in Eukaryota, Viridiplantae, Streptophyta, Magnoliopsida, Fabales, Fabaceae.
CCCUAAGUUCCUAAUCAAAAACCCUAACCCUCCCCACUCGCCUCAACAACAGCCGUCAGCCACACUUCCCUUCCUUCCCCUAACGGUCAUACAACACACACAUAGCUGAGAGAGAAAGGCAGAAAUGGAAAGGGAGAAGAGAGAGAGCUCGGAAUCAGAGGAGAAGAGGGAGCCGUGGCCACGCAACCGCCGUCUUGUCGCCAACGCCGUUGCAGGAGAUGACCAGAGUUGAGGCAGGGAGCAGCGCCCAGAGGAGAGAGUGCCGCGAGCCAGGGUUGACGCGACGAAAAAGAGAAGCCCGCGACCAGCCUCGUCACCGUUAGCGCCACAGGUUGCCGUCGCCAUCCUCGCGAGCUGCCACCGCAUCGCCGUCGUGCCAUCCACCCACGCCGAGAAGGAAGAGAGAAACAGAGGAGAGUGGCAUCGCGUCUGCUGCGAGCUCGCCACGGAGGAAAGCCGCCGUCGCCGCUGGUCUGUAUUGGAGCCGCCGUCGAGUAGAACGCGAGGAAGAGGACUGUUGUGCACUCAGUCAUCGCUGCUACUUCCAAUCCCGCCGGCGAAGCUUCCGCCACUGCCAUAACCACCCUCGAGCUGCUGCGCUGCUGUUGAUCUAUUGAACCACCACCCGAGCUACUGUUGGCUUGCCGCUGCUGUUUGUUGGGUUCAAGAUUACUGCUGCUGUUCUUGCUCUGCUCUGUCUCUGCUUUUAGUUUUUGGAAUUUGACAAGAGUGCCACUGCCGCUGCUGGAGCUGCUGUCAGCUGAUGCUCUGGAUCCAUUCUGAAUCGUUAUCGUCGCUGUUUGGCUGAUGCUGAGGCCUUCCAUCAUCAAUGGAGCUUUCCAGAAUCAUCAUGGUAGCUGCCAAGAGAGCGGAAUGGGUGUUGGAACUGUCAAUGGAGCUGCUGUGUUUAGUAAUUUCUGCAAAUUUCGACACUCUGAGAUGCAGGUCGCAACCCACCUCAGUGAGUUGUCUGAUUGGUGACAGGAGCGGAGGAUCUGAACAUUCUUUUGGAGUCUUUUGAUUUAUUAUGUAUAUGUCUCUCACUUUUGUGCUUUGUUUUGCCUAGAGGCUUGUAUUUGAGAGAACAAAAAUUGUAUAGACUGUUUUACUGUCUGGUUUCACAUAUGGUCUGUAUAUGACUAGUCGGCUUAAACUCCAUGAGCUGUGGCUAGAUUCUUAUGAUAUUAUACUACUAUAUUUUGUUA